CUAAUUUCCCAAAUUAAAAACCCCAAGUUCCUAAUCAGAAAUCCUAACCUACCCAUUUUCUUCUCCCUUCAGCCGCCGAGCCCCACCCCCUUCACCCCCUCUCACACAGACAGCAUACUCACUCUCAUCAACUCAUAUCACACACACCCACACUCAACAGAGACAAAGGAGAGAAGAAAAGAGGGAGCCGUCGCCACGCAGCCGCCGUCCUGUCGCCAACGCCGUCGCGGGGGAAGACCGGAGCCGAGGCAGGGAGUAGCGCCGGGAGGGAGAGGGGCCGCCGUCGCGUCCUGUUCACCAUCGCCGUCGAUCUGCCAUGGAGCCACAAGCUUGCGUUACUGCCGAUCUGUCCACAAGCAUUCGUCGAGGGGACAUAAUCGCGAAGAGAGAGAGACGCACGAAGAGAAGCCCGCGACCAGCCUUGUCGCCGUCAGUGCCGCGGGUUGCCGUCGCCAUCCUCGUGAGCUGCCACCGCGUCGCCGUUACUGAGCUGCAGUGCCGCUGUUGUAUCACUAAGCCGCCGCUGGAGGAGGAAGGCCCGCCAAUUCUGCCUCUGCUUCUAGUUUCUGGAAUCUGAGAAGAAGCCACUGCCACUGCUGGAACCGUUGGUUUUGUUGCUCUGUCCUUGCUUUAGAUCCACUCUGAGGCGUUACCAUCGCUGUUUGGCUGACACUGAGGCUUUUCACUGCCACCGGAGCUGCCCAGGACCACCGCUGUGGCUGCUAUGGGAACAGAGCGGGUGCCAAAACCUAACAGAGUGCCGUUAUUGUCGAUUAGAGAUGCCAAAACCACUACUGCUGCUGUUUGGCUGAAGCUGAGACCUUUCACCAUCACUGGAGCUGCCCAGAAUCAUCAUGGUAGCUGCUAAGAGAGCAGAACGGAUGUUAGAACUGCCAAUGGAGCUGCUGGGUUUAGUGAUUUCCGCGAGUUUCGACUUUGAGUGAUACAGGUUCGAAGACACAGUGUGAAGCUGGGGCGAUUGUUAGACCUUAUUUAUGAGUUAAGUUUUUGAAUUGAGUUGUUUUCAUAGAAUUCCCUCGCCCUUGUUACUUUAGUUUUUAUUUUACACAGAGGGAUAGGAUUUGUAUCUAAGUUUUAUUUGAAAUCUUUUGUAUGACAGAUAUUAUUAUUAGUAAUUAUGUGAUUAUUAUUAUUUGGUGAUG
This is a long non-coding RNA of Arachis duranensis, 1163 nucleotides long. RefSeq lists it as uncharacterized. NCBI's taxonomy places the organism in Eukaryota, Viridiplantae, Streptophyta, Magnoliopsida, Fabales, Fabaceae. The record is from RefSeq and is a predicted model, not a curated record. The transcript is spliced from 2 exons.